RNAcentral lists this ribosomal RNA (426 nucleotides) under uncultured Methanomicrobiales archaeon. RNAcentral's name for it is "bacterial SSU rRNA". It matches the Rfam family "Archaeal small subunit ribosomal RNA", at positions 913 to 1338 of the family's 1478-position model. The record is from RNAcentral. Lineage: Archaea; Methanobacteriati; Methanobacteriota; Methanomicrobia; Methanomicrobiales.
CAACGCCGGGAAACUCACCAGAUAAGACAGCUGAAUGAUGGUCGGGCUGAAGACUCUACUUGACUAGCUGAGAGGAGGUGCAUGGCCGUCGUCAGUUCGUACUGUGAAGCAUCCUGUUAAGUCAGGCAACGAGCGAGACCCACGCCAACAGUUGCCAGCUCGUCCUCCGGGAUGGAGGGGACACUGUUGGGACCGCCUCUGCUAAAGAGGAGGAAGGAAUGGGCAACGGUAGGUCAGCAUGCCCCGAAUUAUCUGGGCUACACGCGGGCUACAAUGGGUGGGACAAUGGGUAUCGACACCGAAAGGUGAAGGCAAUCUCCUAAACCCAUCCUUAGUUCGGAUUGUGGGCUGCAACUCGCCCACAUGAAGCUGGAAUCUGUAGUAAUCGUGUUUCAAAAUAGCACGGUGAAUAUGUCCCUGCUCCUU